RNAcentral lists this unclassified non-coding RNA (417 nucleotides) under Hevea brasiliensis (rubber tree). Lineage: Eukaryota; Viridiplantae; Streptophyta; Magnoliopsida; Malpighiales; Euphorbiaceae. The record is from RNAcentral.
GUUUUAGUGGUGAAAAGAUGGUUAAGGCUACAACUUCUCUGAUGCAUGAAAUGGAUGUUGACAAACCUCAAAGUCACAAUUUACACAUGGCAAACGGAGAAAAAAAUGGAGUGAAUGGUGAGAAUACGAUGGUAGAUAUGUUCCGACUGUCUCGUUGUAAGAAGCCCCUGCCUCAGAAACUAAUGCAAUCAGUUGGAAUUCCUUUGCCCCUUGAACAUGUUGAGGUUUUGGAGGAGAAUCUGGAGUGGGAAAACAUUCAAUGGUCACAAACUGGUGUUUGGAUUGCUGGAAAAGAAUAUCCUCUUACUAGAGCGCAUUUUCUUUCCCCAAAUUAGGCAAUGCUUUGUAAUAGAUACAGUUUAUUCUAUAAGACAAAGAUGUAUUGGGAUUUAUACUGAUUAGAAUGAUAAAUUGUGG